UGGGGAAUAUUGGGCAAUGGGGGAAACCCUGACCCAGCGACGCCGCGUGAGGGAAGAAGGCCUUAGGGUCGUAAACCUCUGUUGUGUGGGAAGAAGAGCGUGACGGUACCACACGAGGAAGUCCCGGCUAACUACGUGCCAGCAGCCGCGGUAAUACGUAGGGGACGAGCGUUGUCCGGAUUUACUGGGCGUAAAGGGCGCGUAGGCGGUCAUUUAAGUCAGCUGUGAAAUGGUUUGGCUUAACCGGAUCAUGCGGUUGAAACUGGAUGACUGGAGUGCUGGAGAGGCAAGUGGAAUUCCCAGUGUGGCGGUGAAAUGCGUAGAUAUUGGGAAGAACACCGGUAGCGGAGGCGACUUGCUGGCCAGCAACUGACGCUGAGGCGCGAAAACCAGGGGAGC
RNAcentral lists this ribosomal RNA (399 nucleotides) under uncultured bacterium. Its description in RNAcentral is "bacterial SSU rRNA". It matches the Rfam family "Bacterial small subunit ribosomal RNA", at positions 355 to 769 of the family's 1533-position model. The record is from RNAcentral.